UUUUGAAGAGGGACCAUUGUCUUGGACCAGAGCUCAGAACCAGGAAUCAGGCUUGUGUUUGUCUGUUGAAAGACCUGGAGUGGUAGCUGUGUUCCUGACUUGGCCCUCAUGAAUACGCAGGGCACGUCCGUUAGGUCCCGGCUGAAGUUUGAAUUCACUGGAUAAUGUACUGUCGGAUCCCUUAUCAGACCUCACUCAGGUGGAAGAGAGCUGCCAUCCACUCAAAUAUGCCAGUUUCUCCUAACACCAGGAGCUUUGAGAAGAUCUGCACCUUGGAAGGGCAAGGGCAAUGUCAUCAGCAGAGCUUGACAAUAAGCAAAGGUGACAACAACUUGGACUGAUCCCACCUGCCUAGAAGUACCUUCUGGGGAACCCUCCAAAACUUUGGGAGAGCCAAGCAAAAUUUUAUAAGAAGCCAGAAUCAAUGUAAUUUAGGUUACAAAGGGAAAACAAUAUAAUCGACUAUGUCUCAAACUUGUAGGGAGGGAAAGAUUUUUGAGACCCGAAAUGAUGGAAGAAUUCUCUAUUUUAUAUCAUGGAAGCUUUAUAUCUGGAAUUUUCACCUAGAUUUAAAAAUUAGUGUACAAAUUGCAGAUGAUAGUCUCCAAUCACUUUUCACAAUAGUUAUUGUAGAUCUUUCGUUGUUUUAUAUGAUUAAAUUUGGUUUCUUUCUCAUGUGGCCGAGUUAUGCCCAUGGUUGAAUAAUUUUGGUAAUACAAAAAACCAACUCUUGCUUCAGUUUAUCAACAAAAUUGCUUUCUGAAUUUCCCAGUAUGUUUUGUCUUUUUUUUAAAUAAAAAUCAAG
Molecule: long non-coding RNA, 805 nt
Organism: Ailuropoda melanoleuca (giant panda)
Lineage: Eukaryota; Metazoa; Chordata; Mammalia; Carnivora; Ursidae
Exons: 3
Source: RefSeq, a predicted model, not a curated record